UAACUUAGUGUAGCCGCUCUCAUCCGACUCAUCUGCUGUAUGUACUCUGCGUUGUGUGUAAUUGGCAAAGGGAACCAGGAGACGAGGACACCGGUGUAGGGUUACCCAGCAAUACA
Long non-coding RNA from Xiphophorus couchianus (Monterrey platyfish), 116 nucleotides. RefSeq lists it as uncharacterized. The transcript is spliced from 3 exons. NCBI's taxonomy places the organism in Eukaryota, Metazoa, Chordata, Actinopteri, Cyprinodontiformes, Poeciliidae. The record is from RefSeq and is a predicted model, not a curated record.